UCGUCGACAACCUGGUUGAUCCUGCCAGUAGUCAUAUGCUCGUGUUAAAGAUUAAGCCAUGCAUGCCUAAGUACAGAUUGUACAACGAUGAAACUGCGGACGGCUCCAUAGAUCAGUAAUUGUUCGUUUGGCGAAUGAAGUACUUGGAUAACCCUGUUAAUUGUAGAGCUAAUACAUGCACCGACGGCUCGAUUGGGCAACCGAGAGAGCUGCACUUGUCUUUCUUUUCAAGCCCAGGGGGGCCUGUGUGGAGCUCCGGGGAGGGCCCCGUGGUGGAAGCAGAGACAACUGGGAGCACAAAGCUAGGGAGGAGGCGCAAAGCCAACCCGGCGAAGACUCUAGCAAAGGCUCCUGGGCCCAAGGCUGGCGGCGUCCCCGAAAGGGGGCGUCGUUUGGCCGAAGAGCAAUUCUGUGGAAGCUGCGGGAUACCGUCGAUCCGGGGCAGAAGCGUGGGUCGUCCUGGGGAUAGGGUGAAACGGGACAAUUCAAAGCAGAUCGCCGCUUCGGCGGCGACACGCCAUUCGAAUUUCUGACCUAUCAACUAGAUGGUAGGAUAGUGGCCUACCAUGGUUAUAACGGGUAACGGGGAAUCAGGGCUCGAUUCCGGAGAGGGAGCCUGAGAAACGGCUACCACUUCCRAGGAAGGCAGCAGGCGCGUAAAUUACUCCCUGCCGACACGGCGAGGUAGUGACGACAAAUACCAAGGUCAGCCGCCUAUGGUGGCCGACUAUUGGAAUGAGCAGAAUUUAAAUCCCUCUGCAAGUAACAAUUGGAGGGCAAGUCUGGUGCCAGCAGCCGCGGUAAUUCCAGCUCCAAGAGUGUAUACUAAAGCUGUUGCGGUUAAAACGCUCGUAGUUGAAUUCCAACAUCCGGUUCAAAGUGGACGGAGAUUGGGGGUGGGGUGGRGGUCUCGCAAGGGAUCCCUGUCCCAUUCACCUGCUGUUCGCUCCGGAGAAGCGUAACCCAUGUCAAGCGCUGGGCCCUCGCCCUGGCCAUUAACUUGGCCAGGGAGACGAAAACCCCGACCGACAAGGGAGGGGGRGAGCCCGGAUUCUAAGUUUACCUUGAAUAAACUAGAGUGAUUCAAGCAGGCGGAAACGCUUUGAAUACGAUUAGCAUGGGAUAAACAUUACGCAAAACAAACCGGGUCUGGCUGAGACUGGGUCCGGGCAGGGGGACGAGGGGAGAUCAUCGAUCUGGCGGCGUCGUUGUCUGUGCAGCUAAUAUCAGCGUAGUCCCAAGGGUUAGCUUGGCUUUCCCGGGGGGGCUCGGAUCCUGCUGUUUGGCCGGGAGGGGGGGUGGUGGGCCUYCGGGUCCGCCAUCCACCCGUCUGGUCAGGCRGUGGGGGGGUUCACUGGGCAACCAGUAUGCGCYGAGAUGUGCAGGCAAGGGCGUCGUCUCCGGUGGUCGACAAAGACUCCUCGUUUUCAGGCCUUGGCCAAAGCCAGCCAAUACGGCUCGGUCGCACGGUGGGGGGGCCCGCAAGGUYUUCCUGCUGUGCGUAUGAACCAUGAUAGGGACAGCCGGGGUCGUUAAUACUUCCGUGCUAGGGGUGAAAUCCUAUGAUUACGGAAAGAUUAACUAGUGCGAAAGCAUUCGACAAGGAUGUUUUCAUUAAUCAAGAACGAAAGUUGGGGGAUCGAAGACGAUCAGAUACCGUCGUAGUCUCAACCAUAAACGAUGCCGACCAGGGAUCGAGGGACGCUUUCCGAAGAGGAAGCGAGGCUCCCCCGGCACCUUUGAGAGAAAUCAAUGAGUGUCUGGGCUUCGGGGGGAGUAUGGUCGCAAGGCUGAAACUUAAAGGAAUUGACGGAAGGGCACACAAGAAGUGGACUGCGGCUUAAUUUGACUCAACACGGGGAAACUUACCAGGUCCAGACAGUGGAAGGAUUGACAGAUUGAGAGCUCUUUCUAGAUUCGCUGGGUGGUGGUGCAUGGCCGUUCUUAGUUCGUGGUGUAAAUUGUCUGUGUCAAUUCCGCUAACGAACGAGACCUUAACCUGCUAACUAAUGUUGGGCGGAGGCUUUUGCAGGGGGAAGCGUUGGGGGCAACUCUGGCGUGGAACCCUGYAAAACUCUGGUCAAAAUCGGCCCCGUCGACGGGGUGGCUGGGGCAACCUGGUCAUCCUGCAGGGGCCGAACCAACUUCUUAGAGGGACUAUUUGCUCCUAGCGAAUGGAAGUUURAKSCAAUAACAGGUCUGUGAUGCCCUUCGAUGUCCUGGGCCGCACGCGCGCUACACUGACUGAGUGAAUGAGUUUGCGUGCACCCCUCAUGGGCUCCCGCAAGGGAGUCUGUGGGGGGAGAAUGCACCUACCCUGGGCCGAAAGGCUCUGGGAAAAUUGCGGAAACCCAGUCGUGCUGGGGAUAGACCUUUGCAACUAUUGGUCUUAAACGAGGAAUUCCUAGUAAGCGUGGGUCAUCAGCUCACGUUGAUUACGUCCCUGCCCUUUGUACACACCGCCCGUCGCUCCUACCGAUUGGAUGAUCCGGUGAAGGUUACGGAUGAGCUUGGUAUACAACGCUGGUGGGCUUGCUCAUCAGUGUAAUACCAUCCAGAAGUGACCUAAACCUUAUUAUCUAGAGGAAGGAGAAGUCGUAACAAGGUUUCCGUAGGUGAACCUGCAGAAGGAUCAAGCUUGGAUCCCGGGAAGGGC
This 2656-nucleotide ribosomal RNA is filed under the name Mastigella commutans. Its description in RNAcentral is "18S ribosomal RNA". It matches the Rfam family "Eukaryotic small subunit ribosomal RNA". Lineage: Eukaryota; Evosea; Pelobiontida. The record is from RNAcentral.